RNAcentral lists this ribosomal RNA (406 nucleotides) under uncultured bacterium. RNAcentral describes it as "partial 16S ribosomal RNA". It matches the Rfam family "Bacterial small subunit ribosomal RNA", at positions 30 to 526 of the family's 1533-position model. The record is from RNAcentral.
AUUGAACGCUGGCGGCAGGCCUAACACAUGCAAGUCGAACGAGUGGCGGACGGGUGAGUAAUGUCGGGGAAACCGCCCGAUGGAGGGGGAUAACUAGUGGAAACGGUCGCUAAUACCGCAUUCCAUCGUAUGCGCCCAGAUGGGAUUAGCUAGUAGGUGGGGAAAUGGCUCCCCUAGGCGGCGAUCCCUAGCUGGGCUGAGAGGAUGACCAGCCACACUGGAACUGAGACACGGUCCAGACUCCUACGGGAGGCAGCAGUGGGGAAUAUUGCACAAUGGGCGCAAGCCUGAUGCAGCCAUGCCGCGUGUAUGAAGAAGGCCUUCGGGUUGUAAAGUACUUUCAGUGAGGAGGCGUUACUCGCAGAAGAAGCACCGACUAACUCCGUGCCAGCAGCCGCGGUAAUAC